Molecule: ribosomal RNA, 641 nt
Filed under: Salmonella enterica subsp. enterica serovar Bareilly str. CFSAN000185
Lineage: Bacteria; Pseudomonadati; Pseudomonadota; Gammaproteobacteria; Enterobacterales; Enterobacteriaceae
Description: bacterial LSU rRNA
Rfam family: Bacterial large subunit ribosomal RNA
Source: RNAcentral
GGAGCCGACCUUGAAAUACCACCCUUUAAUGUUUGAUGUUCUAACGUGGACCCGUAAUCCGGGUUGCGGACAGUGUCUGGUGGGUAGUUUGACUGGGGCGGUCUCCUCCUAAAGAGUAACGGAGGAGCACGAAGGUUGGCUAAUCCUGGUCGGACAUCAGGAGGUUAGUGCAAUGGCAUAAGCCAGCUUGACUGCGAGCGUGACGGCGCGAGCAGGUGCGAAAGCAGGUCAUAGUGAUCCGGUGGUUCUGAAUGGAAGGGCCAUCGCUCAACGGAUAAAAGGUACUCCGGGGAUAACAGGCUGAUACCGCCCAAGAGUUCAUAUCGACGGCGGUGUUUGGCACCUCGAUGUCGGCUCAUCACAUCCUGGGGCUGAAGUAGGUCCCAAGGGUAUGGCUGUUCGCCAUUUAAAGUGGUACGCGAGCUGGGUUUAGAACGUCGUGAGACAGUUCGGUCCCUAUCUGCCGUGGGCGCUGGAGAACUGAGGGGGGCUGCUCCUAGUACGAGAGGACCGGAGUGGACGCAUCACUGGUGUUCGGGUUGUCAUGCCAAUGGCACUGCCCGGUAGCUAAAUGCGGAAGAGAUAAGUGCUGAAAGCAUCUAAGCACGAAACUUGCCCCGAGAUGAGUUCUCCCUGAGACU